UUUAAUCGAAGCAACGCGAAGAACCUUACCGAGGCCUUGACAUGCGUAGGGAACCCGGGUGAAAGCCUGGGGUGCCCCGCGAGGGGAGCCCUAGCACAGGUGCUGCAUGGCCGUCGUCAGCUCGUGCCGUGAGGUGUUGGGUUAAGUCCCGCAACGAGCGCAACCCCCGCCGUUAGUUGCCAGCGGUUCGGCCGGGCACUCUAACGGGACUGCCCGCGAAAAGCGGGAGGAAGGAGGGGACGACGUCUGGUCAGCAUGGCCCUUACGGCCUGGGCGACACACGUGCUACAAUGCCCACUACAAAGCGAGGCCACCCGGCAACGGGGAGCUAAUCGCAAAAAGGUGGGCCCAGUUCGGAUUGGGGUCUGCAACCCGACCCCAUGAAGCCGGAAUCGCUAGUAAUCGCGGAUCAGCCAUGCCGCGGUGAAUACGUUCCCGGGCCUU
Molecule: ribosomal RNA, 444 nt
Filed under: uncultured Thermus sp.
Lineage: Bacteria; Thermotogati; Deinococcota; Deinococci; Thermales; Thermaceae
Description: bacterial SSU rRNA
Rfam family: Bacterial small subunit ribosomal RNA
Source: RNAcentral